This 114-nucleotide ribosomal RNA is filed under the name Acanthosepion pharaonis. Lineage: Eukaryota; Metazoa; Mollusca; Cephalopoda; Sepiida; Sepiidae. The record is from RNAcentral.
UUACGGUCAAAUCACGCUGAAACACCGGUUCUCGUACGAUCACCGAAGUUAAGCAGAGUAGAGCCAGGUCAGUACUUAGAUGGGGGACCGCUUGGGAACACCUGGUACUGUAAG